AAUCUUUUGCUUAUUUUGUCACUAAUAGUACGUCACAAACAUCACUUUCACUCAUUAUAAGAUCGCUUCAUAGCAUUACGUCUGAUCAUAAUUGCACUUGUAAUUGUUUUAAUUUCUAUCUUGUAUUACAUUUCAGACUACCGGUAUUGUACAAAGCAGACAGAAGCUUGUCUUUCCAGUCAGGGGCAAAUGUCGAAAUGUGAACUGCUUCGAAUACUCAGGCGACAAUGUGUAUGUUGCGGUUACAAUAAACUCUGAUGAUGUGUAUGUGAAGAUGCGUCUCCAUAUAUGUUACACAAAACCUGAUCAUAAUGCGGAUGCAAGAGUAACAUAUCCUUUAAUACAAAACGGAUGUGUGGUAGAUCCCGAAACUCAUAUUUUUUCACAAGGAACACACGAGACCCGGUUUGUCUUCAGUGCAUUUGAAUUCCCCCAGACUCAUAACAGCGUGUAUAUUUUCUGUAACUCCACGUUCUGUAAGACUACGGACACUAGCGACAUGUGCACGCAAAUUUGUCACGGCUCACCGUCACUUAUGGGACGCUCACUGUGGACAUUGGAAUCAGAGCGCGAGAAAAAAUCAAAUUACCUUAAUGUAUUUCCCUAAUACAUGUAUAAAUAAAAUGAUUAAUAUAAUUGACUUUGUUGAAUAUACUUUUGGUUAACCUGAUUUUAUUUUGAAGACCCUGUCGAAGUAGUGAAUUCAGGUAAACAGCAUCAGUACUUUUUGUAAUCCAGAAUCAUUUUGAACAUUUUCUUAGCAGUUUUGGCUCUUUGCUUUUUUAUCUUCGGUUAACAAAU
Ruditapes philippinarum (Manila clam) is the source of this 801-nucleotide long non-coding RNA. RefSeq lists it as uncharacterized. Lineage: Eukaryota; Metazoa; Mollusca; Bivalvia; Venerida; Veneridae. The transcript is spliced from 3 exons. The record is from RefSeq and is a predicted model, not a curated record.